RNAcentral lists this ribosomal RNA (230 nucleotides) under uncultured bacterium. RNAcentral's name for it is "partial 16S ribosomal RNA". It matches the Rfam family "Bacterial small subunit ribosomal RNA", at positions 89 to 334 of the family's 1533-position model. The record is from RNAcentral.
CGACGAGUGGCGGACGGGUGAGUAACGCAUAGGAAUCUGCCUAGUAGUGGGGGACAACCUGGGGAAACUCAGGCUAAUACCGCAUACGCCCUUCGGGGGAAAGGCUUCGGCCGCUAUUAGAUGAGCCUAUGUCUGAUUAGCUUGUUGGUGGGGUAAUGGCCUACCAAGGCGACGAUCAGUAGCUGGUCUGAGAGGACGAUCAGCCACACUGGGACUGAGACACGGCCCAG